RNAcentral lists this non-coding RNA (526 nucleotides) under Acanthamoeba griffini. RNAcentral describes it as "group I intron". The stretch from base 69 to 386 matches the Rfam family "Group I catalytic intron". Rfam says of the family: Group I catalytic introns are large self-splicing ribozymes. They catalyse their own excision from mRNA, tRNA and rRNA precursors in a wide range of organisms. Lineage: Eukaryota; Discosea; Longamoebia; Acanthamoebidae. The record is from RNAcentral.
AGGGCAAGUCUGGUUAACAUAGCAGCCAGAUGUUGAUAUCAUACAAUGCAUGAGAGAGAGUACUAUUAGUGCUCUCUUGUUGUGGUGUGUGAUAUUGGCAGAAAGUUGGAGAUAAGCACCAACUGUACAACCGUAAAUUGCGGGAAACCCCUAAAGCCUAUUCUACCGCGGCUAUGAGGAUGACUCAUAGUGCAGCAGGUGCGGAUAACGCCCACCGGAUGGUAAUAACGAAUAGGAUGACCUUAGUACCUCCACAUAACAUAAUAACAAAAGGUCACAAUGGGCAAUCCGCAGCCAAGCUCCCAUAUGUUGGGAGAAGGUUCAGAGACUAUAAUCGGAUGGGCGCAAGCUUAAGGUAUAGUCCACUCCCACUUCGAAAGAGGUGCUAUAAAGCUAUUAAGAAGUUUGCUUACUUCCUAGGGUUUUAUAGAUCCGUUGCUUGUAUACAAUAUACGUGUAUACAUCAAUACCCCAAGAGGAAAUGCUUGGUUGGAAGGAUGGUAGCAAGGGCCAGCAGCCGCGGUAA